Molecule: unclassified non-coding RNA, 238 nt
Filed under: Hevea brasiliensis (rubber tree)
Lineage: Eukaryota; Viridiplantae; Streptophyta; Magnoliopsida; Malpighiales; Euphorbiaceae
Source: RNAcentral
AAAAUGAAGUUGUCUUUCAAGUAAAAACAAAGUCAUAAAUUGGAGUAGGAAAGUUCGCUGAGAUGAGAAUCAGCUACCUCACAACCCUCCACAAGAUGCCUCGGAAACGAAGAGAAUGGAAGAUAUCACAAAAAUCCGGGCUCGUAACCUACAAAAAUUUGUAGAAGCAAGGGGUGAGUACCAAACCACACGGUACUCAGCAAGUAAACCUCUAAACACAAGCUAAGGGGAUGAAAUA